RNAcentral lists this microRNA precursor (104 nucleotides) under Marmota monax (woodchuck). Lineage: Eukaryota; Metazoa; Chordata; Mammalia; Rodentia; Sciuridae. The record is from RNAcentral.
AUUGGAAUGGCUGGGUCAUAUGGUAGCUGUAUGAACAAUUUUUAAAGAAACUGCCAAACUGUUUUCUAAAGUGGUUAUGCCAUUUUGUAUUCUCCACAGGCAGU